RNAcentral lists this long non-coding RNA (484 nucleotides) under Vigna radiata. Its description in RNAcentral is "long non-coding RNA (VRAD_LNC007163)". Lineage: Eukaryota; Viridiplantae; Streptophyta; Magnoliopsida; Fabales; Fabaceae. The record is from RNAcentral.
AAAAAAACACACUGAAUAAUAAGAUGUAGUCAUAACCUAAUACAAUUAUCUGACAAAAGACUAAAGAAAUGCUGCCAUGUCUAUUACAUGCAGUAUCCUGAACACAUAAUGCAACAUGUGAAGGUCUUUAAGGGUUAGAGGUGGAAGGUGGUGAGGAGAAGAAGGGAAAGGGGAGGUUUGGCAUUGUUGGCAUGUUUGGCAGUGAAGCUGCAAAAGGAGGUAGAUUGAGUGUUGGCAUAAUGGUAGGAAGAGAUGGAAGAUUUGGCAUGGUAGGGAUUGUGGGCAAAGGAGGAACAUUUCCCUGAGGCAUAGGGUUUGAAGGCAAAGGUGGAAGUGUUGUUGGAUUAGGGAGAGUGGUUUGCAAAAGAUGGCGAGAUGCUAGGCUCAAACUCAUGCUUGAGAAGGUCACAAUCACAAGAAGAAAGAGAGGUAUGAUGAAGGAUUUGCCUGAGGUCAUGGUUGAUGAGUUGAAAGAGUUUGGGAG